RNAcentral lists this long non-coding RNA (2822 nucleotides) under Nicotiana tabacum (common tobacco). Its description in RNAcentral is "long non-coding RNA (NTAB_LNC001966)". The record is from RNAcentral. Lineage: Eukaryota; Viridiplantae; Streptophyta; Magnoliopsida; Solanales; Solanaceae.
UAUACGUAGUAUUGAUUAGAAUUUUUUACUAUGCCAUUUUAUUUUAUUUGCUAUACGUAUUCCUACACAAUUCUAGAACCCUCCUCUGCUUUCAAAACGUAUUUUCUUCAUCUUCACACUUGGACCUGCUACUCCUCUUUCAUUUACAUUGAUCUUCUAGCUGGGUCUCUCAAUUUCAGGUAAGGGAAUCCUUAAUUUUUGCUUUAAUAUUCGUCUUCGGUGGUUACGUUAUAACUUCACGUCUGAUCAUCUGUCAAUUUUUGUCCAGAUCUUAUCCGUUCUUCUUGUUUUCUCCUUGAUUUUUUUGGUUCUCUUCGGUCUUCCCAAAUUCAUGGCUCGNNNNNNNNNNNNNNNNNNNNNNNNNUAUUGUUCAAAAAUCUUAAUAUAUUUUUAAAAUUUAUAAUGAUACCUAAUUCAAAACUCUUUUACAAACUAAAAAUUAACAAUGUGUUCUAUUUGCUAUCCAUUCAUUUCAUAUCAAACUUGUUUUCUUACAAAUUAACCUGUUCAAACUUAUAAAAUUAUGCGAUAAAUGAAUUCAAAUAGACACCAUGGCCCAUUCUAUUAUUAAUAAUGCAGGAACGCGGAACAGAAACAUAGGAUUUAAUCAUUUUUUUUAAUUUUAUAAAUUGAGUGAAGUGAAUACCCAAGUUGGACAAUUUUGUGACAAAAGGGAAGCUAAAAACGUUCUUCAAUUACGAAAAUACAACCCCAUGAUUUGUUAUUAUGCCACCAAUAAAAGAUAAAACUACUCUAAAAGAAAUACAAGAGUCCAAAACACUUUUUAACUAGAAUGAGUAGGAACAAAUAUUGUAUUUUUGAAGUUACAGUAAAAUAUCAUACAACUUAGAUCACCAAAAAUUUGAAUGAAUAACAAAAAAAAAAAAAUCAAAUCUGCAAUAUAGUGAUUGGGCAUGGGCCAGUCUUUACUAGUUUAUAUAGAAAAGCUAAGAAUGGUCGACCAAGGGCGAAUUUGUCAUUCUACUAUGCCAUUUUAUUUUAUUUUUUAUACGUAUUCCUACACAAUUCUAGAACCCUCCUCUGCUUUCGAAACGUAUUUUCUGCAUCUUCACACUUGGACCUGCUACUCCUCUUUCAUUUACAUUGAUCUUCUAGCUGGGUCUCUCAAUUUCAGGUAAGGGAAUCUUUAAUUUUUGCUUUAAUAUUCGUCUUCGGUGGUUACGUUAUAACUUCACGUCUGAUCAUCUGUCAAUUUUUGUCCAGAUCUUAUCCGUUCUUCUUGUUUUCUCCUUGAUUUUUUGGUUCUCUUCGGUCUUCCCAAAUUCAUGGCUGGUAUCAUUCUAUUUUUCAUGGUAGUAAUUUCAUUUGCUUUCCCCUUUUUUUUUUUUUUUGAAUUUCAAAAAAUGUCCCUUUAAAUUCUAUUAUAUUGCGAACAAAUUCAUGAUAUACAUAAGCGAACGAAUUCAUGACUCUUUGGCGCAAAGCCAGGAGCUCUUCACCGGAGGUGGUACUUUUUCUAUUAGUUUAUAAUGAUGAAUUUCCGCAUUCCAAGUGUUAAAAACUUGGAGCAAAUAGAAACUGAUAUAAAAAAUAAGGAUGCUAAGACAUUGGAAAUAUCCAAUUCUAGGCACACAUUCGAAAUGUCGGCCGAAAAAAUUGAAUUUAUUUAGAAUCAAAGAUUUCAAAUGUAUUAAAAAUAAAUUAUACUUGUAAAUUGGGGUACAUUUUUAUCUUUCUCCAGCCUUAUUUGUUGUACUUAUUUAUUAUUAAUACUUUAUUUUUGUUCAUUUUCUCUUCUCUAUUAUAGUUAUUUUACUCUCUGUAGUGUUAAUUUUCUAUUGCUGUGUUUGUAUAGUAUUUCAAAGUGUGAGUAGAAAGUUCAUUUCUUAUUGUAGUCGAGUACUAAAAUCGGGCUUAGUUCCUACUUCCUAGGAAGGGUAUGUGAUUUGCAAAUGCAACCCUCCUGCUUGCUUAUGAUUUUAAGUUUGAGGACAAGCAUUUGAAAAUUUGCAUCGUAAAAUUUUAUUGUCAUAGCAUUAGCAGAGGAGGAGAUUGAGGAUAGCAUUAGCCUUAUUUCUAUCUGCUUGCUGAGUUAAUAUCACAGAUGUUAAUAACUUAAUAUAAGAUAGCUUAUCCUUUCAUCUUUGGUGUCUGAACAUUUUACGGAGGUAAGAUCUACUCCUUUUACUAAGUAUUAUAAAUUCCUUCAAUAAAAUUAGCUUAAGGAUGUUGAUAAAAGAAUAAGCUAAGGGCUAAAAAAUGUGCAGAUCCUUUGGGAGGAGGAAUAGCAGAUAACGGUUGUAGGAUCUUUUUUUGACAUGUUUUCUCUUGAGUUGCAGAAGUCAUAUAGGUCCUUGAGCUAGGAGCCUAGGACCUAGCCAACAUAAUCAAAAUCAAGCUCUCAUAUUCUUUCAUGUAAAAGAAACUGAUUUUCUUGUUUGCUGUUUUUGUAUUUGCAUGUUCUAUUGCCUCUUUUUCCUGAACUAAAAUUUCACUUUCUCAUGCAUGUUCCAAUAUGAAAGCUGAGAUCUACAAAAACUACAGUUCACUCCAGAUCUGCAUGAUUAGUGAAUUAGGGGAUUGAUAGCCCGUUUGGCCAAGCUUCUAAAAUCAACUUAUUUUGAGAAGUGCUUUUCUCAAAAGUACUUUUUAAAAAAGUGUUUUUGGUGAGAAGCAGUUUGUGUUUGACUAAUUAAUUUGAAAAGCACUUUUGAGCAGUAAUUAGUGUUUGGCCAAGUUUUUGAAAACUGCUUCUAAGUGUAUUUUUCUCAAAAGUGCUUUUGGAGAGAAGCUACUUUUUUCUGCUUCUCCAAAACUGCUUUUCCUUUUCCUCAAAAACACUUUUUUUCCUUCCAAAAGCU